GGUGCCACCUCGGGGUGCCGCAAGCCGGGCUGAGAUGCGAUCGCAAACCCGUUGAACCUGAACCGGUUAAGACCGGCGGAGGGAAGGUGACAGGAUGAUCC
The sequence is a non-coding RNA, 101 nucleotides long. It matches the Rfam family "TPP riboswitch aptamer (THI element)". From Rfam's summary of the family: Vitamin B(1) in its active form thiamin pyrophosphate (TPP) is an essential coenzyme that is synthesised by coupling of pyrimidine and thiazole moieties in bacteria. The previously detected thiamin-regulatory element, thi box was extended, resulting in a new, highly conserved RNA secondary structure, the THI element, which is widely distributed in eubacteria and also occurs in some archaea.